CCCUUAGAUGUUCUGGGCCGCACGCGCGCUACACUGAUGAAGGCAACGAGUUUAUCAACCUGCACCGGAAGGUGUGGGUAAUCUUUUGAAACUUCAUCGUGCUGGGGAUAGAUCUUUGCAAUUUUCGAUCUUAAACGAGGAAUUCCUAGUAAGCGCAAGUCAUCAGCUUGCGUUGAUUACGUCCCUGCCCUUUGUACACACCGCCCGUCGUUACUACCGAUUGAAUGGUUCGGUGAAGCGUUCGGACCGUGGCCUUUGGACGGUUCGCCGUCUGUUGGCUGCGGGAAGUUCGUUAAACCUUAUCAUUUAGAGGAAGGAGAAGUCGUAACA
RNAcentral lists this ribosomal RNA (330 nucleotides) under uncultured eukaryote. RNAcentral's name for it is "partial 18S ribosomal RNA". It matches the Rfam family "Eukaryotic small subunit ribosomal RNA", at positions 1470 to 1796 of the family's 1831-position model. The record is from RNAcentral.